CAGAUUUCUUGCACAAAUUUCCAGCUAAAUUAGCAAAAAUGAUACGGGCUAGCUCGCCAAAGUGCUCAGAUGGCCCCUGUGCCAGGUAUAUCUCCAUUUCAAUGCCCUUCCGAUGGGCAAAGUACAGUGGCACGUUCUCUUCACAGCACU
Non-coding RNA from Caenorhabditis elegans, 150 nucleotides. The record is from Ensembl. Lineage: Eukaryota; Metazoa; Nematoda; Chromadorea; Rhabditida; Rhabditidae.